ACGUAAACUGCAUACGAUUACAAACAAAUUUUUUUUGUGUAAAAUUUAUGAAAGAAAGACUCGAUUUUUCACAUAAUAUUAAGUGAUUUAGUUGAUAGUCUUUUUAAAAGCAUCGUAAGACCGAAGAAAACAAAUGACAAAACAAACAAAAUUCCAAUAACCAAGGUGAUAUUAAAUCUCGAAAUUUUUAAAAUCGUCAUAAGUUUUAAAAGACUCGCAGAGUGAGGUAGUGUGUGACCGUCAUUCAGAAUUUGGUAUUCUUUUUCAAUAACGCCGGAGCAUUGCAAAGGAAGGACUCUGGUUACAAGGAGUCCUUCCUUUCAUAUCGAGAACGAUUGUCACAUAGACCAUAUCAACUGACGGUACUAUUGUACAACGAGACUAUUGAAAAAUGGACAAUUUUUCAUGCGUUGCUAGUCAAAUUUGAUGCCCUGCUGUGGCGCCUGUACGAUUUUAACAUAUUGUCCAAUAACACUACCCCAACCGUAUAAAUGUAUAUAUGAAUAUAUAUACACAUAUCAUGUAUAUACAUAUCUGCCGCACGUAUGUGCACUUAACCCUGACACGUUACCGCUUCAAUUACCGGAACGACAAAACAUGGAAUUGACGAUACUCAAGAUAUUGAUUUAUACCCGAAAAUGAAAGUUAUCCAAUUGCAUGCGGAUAUUACCAAAAUCCUAUGAGGUAUAUGUAAAAAAGUCGGAAAUUGCCAAGUAUCACUUUUCUGUAUGAGUUAAGGAUGUGGCACAACAAUUGGGAGACUUCUAUGAGGAAUAGAAUAUACAGAAAGCGUAUUUCCCGGACUGAACUCUUGGACUAGACGUUAAUCAAUAUUGAAAAACGAUUGGAUAUACAAACUUUCUGCCAGUCAACCGCCCACAUUGCCAAUGUAUCCUCUGAAUGGCUAAGGGUGAAUUAGAGAAGAUAUGGCUUCAGAAAGUUUGUUUUAAUUGAACGCAAACCCCGGAAAAUUCUUAUCCAAACAUCCAUGCAGUUAAUGUUCACUUAAAGUAAUGUGCAAAAUUGGUAUGAGCCCAUUUACAUAGUCUUUCUGGCAGUCACACGCCAUUAAUGCCAUAAACAUACUGUGAGUUACGUUGCAUAUGGUAGCCAAGAACUGUCGAAUAUCAGACGAAGCACACAAUUUCUGGGAAAAGACGUUGAUCUUGUAUUCGAAGGAAGGCAUAAAUGGUUUCAGUGAUGUCAAAAGGAUAAUCGUUAGAAAUGUGAGCCCCUUUUAAAGUGAUACCUAAGAAAAGUCAUGGGUGGGUCGGAUAAAAUCUAUUUAAAUCAUGGAUCAAAACCCUCAAAAAAAAUUAGUCGACCAAAAUUUAAAUUUGCAAAAUUUUAAAUUCAUCUGGGACUUUGGACUACUCUUCCUGCAAUAAUUGGGCAAUUAGAACUUUAGUUAUCUCAAUUCAUCUUCGUCCGUCUACCGAUGCCAUUCUUUAAUUAUAUAAUUUUUUUAUUUUGUUGAUCCCAACCAAAAUUCAAGAAUCAAGAAUUUCUGAAGAAAUUAUAUAUAAAAAAUUUUCAAUAAUAAAUUUUUACUUUUGUUCAUA
Molecule: long non-coding RNA, 1562 nt
Organism: Cimex lectularius (bed bug)
Lineage: Eukaryota; Metazoa; Arthropoda; Insecta; Hemiptera; Cimicidae
Exons: 3
Source: RefSeq, a predicted model, not a curated record